UACGUAGGGGCCGAGCGUUGUCCGGAGUUACUGGGCGUAAAGCGCGCGCAGGCGGCGGUCCGCGCCCGGCGUGAAAGCCCCCCGGCUCAACCGGGGACCGGCAUUCCAAACUGCUCAGCUCGAGUAUGGGAGAGGAUGAGGGAAUUCCUGGUGUAGCGGUGAAAUGCGUAGAUAUCAGGAGGAACACCGGUGGCGAAGGCGGGUCUCUGGGCCGUAACUGACGCUGAGGAGCGAAAGCAUGGGGAGCGAACAGG
This 254-nucleotide ribosomal RNA is filed under the name uncultured bacterium. RNAcentral describes it as "partial 16S ribosomal RNA". It matches the Rfam family "Bacterial small subunit ribosomal RNA", at positions 524 to 776 of the family's 1533-position model. The record is from RNAcentral.